Apis mellifera (honey bee) is the source of this 1248-nucleotide long non-coding RNA. RefSeq lists it as uncharacterized. The record is from RefSeq and is a predicted model, not a curated record. The transcript is spliced from 2 exons. NCBI's taxonomy places the organism in Eukaryota, Metazoa, Arthropoda, Insecta, Hymenoptera, Apidae.
GUUGUAAAUUAAUUCUAGUUCUAAAAUUAAAAAAAUUAUAUAUUUUUUUUUUCUAUUUUACAAGAUGAAAAAAACCUAAACAUCUAUCCGCAAAAUAAUACAGUAGUAGUGUCCAAUAAUAUUGUCUCUUAAAUUGAUCUAGAAAAUAAUUCUUACCAAUGAUGAACAAAUGAAUGUGUCAGCAAUUUCGUCUGUCCAAAUUGUCAAAAUGAAUGGUAUAACCUGAAUCGAAUUUUCCUUACAAUUUUCCGUCCACGAUAUUCCAUCACAAAGAAUGUUAGAGACAAUAUCUGAAGAACAUAAAAGUGGCAGUGUUCGAAAAAAUAAUGUUCGAUUUGAUAGAAUUUUUCUACUCUUUGAUAAAAUUGCUCAUCUUUGUGAUAGUCGAAUGCUUAUUCUCGAUAUACACGUGCAUUAUUCGAAUAAUUUUCAUACAAUUAACGGGAGAAAAAUCAUUGCAAUGGACUCAACGUUUUCUAAUCUACUAUUUAUCUAAAUACUUCCUUGUAAACUGAAUAAGGACAAAAAGGAAACGUAAUGCUAUUAUCUCGGUACACGGUAAGAAGACUUCAAAGGUAAAGCGCGAAAUACGUGUCGUAAAGAAAAUAGGAAUUUGUUUCGUAUUCUGUUUUCGUUUUUGUCCACGUUCAUUCAUUAUAUAUAAUCUAAUAAAAUUAUUUCUCACUUUUUUUUUAUUACUUUUACUAUUAACAUUAAAAAAAAAAUAAUUACAUUGUGAUCUAUUUCAAUGUCAAGCCAUCAUAUAUUUUUCAGUUCAUUUUCUACAUUUUUAUUCUUGGCAUGUUGACUUUAAUCCUCGAUUCGUGUACUUCGCCAAUAGAAAAACCUUUCAAAUAUGAAGAUCGUUUCUUGCUCUGCCAUUUCAAUCAGAUACAUCUUCCGAAACAUGCGAAUGAAAUUGCUAAAUUUAACCGUGAUAAAAAGAGAAAAUACUUGUUGGUGAAAUCUUUGACAAAAAAAUCGAAAAAAAAAUAUGUAGUUCAGUUUUUCCUUCAAAAUACCGAUUCUGAAUCUAACAAUUAAAUAAAGAAAAGAUAACGAAGGUUAUUCUAUAUUUUAUUCCGGAAUUCUUUCGGAAUUAUCGAAAGAAUUAUACAAAUAAAUGCAAAAAUUAGAAACGUAAAAGAUAAGAUACCUAAACUAAUCCAAAAAAUAUUCAGAGAUGGAAGAUUCGUGAAUAAUUACAACAUAAUACGGAAUACAAAUUUUAGAGACGCGAAACAAGAU